AGUUAAGUCAGAAGUGAAAUCCAAUAGCUCAACUAUUGAACUGCUUUUGAAACUGAUUACCUAGAAUAUGGGAGAGGUAGAUGGAAUUUCUGGUGUAGGGGUAAAAUCCGUAGAGAUCAGAAGGAAUACCGAUUGCGAAGGCGAUCUACUGGAACAUUAUUGACGCUGAGACGCGAAAGCGUGGGGAGCAAACAGGAUUAGAUACCCUGGUAGUCCACGCCCUAAACGAUGUACACUAGUUGUUGUGAGGCUCGACCUUGCAGUAAUGCAGUUAACACAUUAAGUGUACCGCCUGGGGAGUACGGUCGCAAGAUUAAAACUCAAAGGAAUAGACGGGGACCCGCACAAGCGGUGGAGCAUGUGGUUUAAUUCGACGAUACACGAAGAACCUUACCUGGACUUGACAUAGUAAGAACUUUCUAGAGAUAGAUUGGUGUCUGCUUGCAGAAACUUAUAUACAGGUGCUGCACGGCUGUCGUCAGCUCGUGUCGUGAGAUGUUGGGUUAAGUCCCGCAACGAGCGCAACCCUCGUCAUUAGUUGCUAACAGUUCGGCUGAGAACUCUAAUGAGACUGCCUACGCAAGUAGGAGGAAGGUGAGGACGACGUCAAGUCAUCAUGGCCCUUACGUCCAGGGCUACACACGUGCUACAAUGGGGUAUACAAAGAGCCGCAAUACGGUGACGUGGAGCAAAUCUCAAAAAUAUCUCCCAGUUCGGAUUGUAGUCUGCAACUCGACUACAUGAA
Molecule: ribosomal RNA, 745 nt
Filed under: uncultured Arcobacter sp.
Lineage: Bacteria; Pseudomonadati; Campylobacterota; Epsilonproteobacteria; Campylobacterales; Arcobacteraceae
Description: bacterial SSU rRNA
Rfam family: Bacterial small subunit ribosomal RNA
Source: RNAcentral